Molecule: ribosomal RNA, 417 nt
Filed under: uncultured Gammaproteobacteria bacterium
Lineage: Bacteria; Pseudomonadati; Pseudomonadota; Gammaproteobacteria
Description: bacterial SSU rRNA
Rfam family: Bacterial small subunit ribosomal RNA
Source: RNAcentral
AAUGGGCGAAAGCCUGACGCAGCCAUGCCGCGUGUGUGAAGAAGGCCUUCGGGUUGUAAAGCACUUUCAAUUGGGAGGAAAGGUUCGUAGCUAAUACCUGCGAGCUGUGACGUUACUUUUAGAAGAAGCACCGGCUAACUCCGUGCCAGCAGCCGCGGUAAUACGGAGGGUGCGAGCGUUAAUCGGAAUUACUGGGCGUAAAGCGCGCGUAGGCGGUUUGUUAAGUCUGAUGUGAAAGCCCCGGGCUCAACCUGGGAAUUGCACCCGAUACUGGCCGACUGGAGUGCGAGAGAGGGAGGUAGAAUUCCACGUGUAGCGGUGAAAUGCGUAGAUAUGUGGAGGAAUACCGGUGGCGAAGGCGGCCUCCUGGCUCGACACUGACGCUGAGGUGCGAAAGCGUGGGGAGCAAACAGGAUU